CGGACAGGCGGCGGAGGGAACC
This 22-nucleotide unclassified non-coding RNA is filed under the name Chlamydomonas reinhardtii. RNAcentral's name for it is "small RNA Cre_1290". The record is from RNAcentral. Lineage: Eukaryota; Viridiplantae; Chlorophyta; Chlorophyceae; Chlamydomonadales; Chlamydomonadaceae.